UACGUAGGUGACAAGCGUUGUCCGGAUUUACUGGGCGUAAAGAGCGCGCAGGCGGUCGUUCAAGUCGAGUGUGAAAGCCCCCGGCUCAACUGGGGAGGGUCACUCGAUACUGAUCGACUCGAAGGCAGGAGAGGGAAGUGGAAUUCCCGGUGUAGUGGUGAAAUGCGUAGAUAUCGGGAGGAACACCAGUGGCGAAGGCGACUAUCUGGGCUGCAACUGACGCUGAGGCGCGAAGGCUAGGGUAGCAAACAGG
Molecule: ribosomal RNA, 253 nt
Filed under: uncultured bacterium
Lineage: Bacteria
Description: partial 16S ribosomal RNA
Rfam family: Bacterial small subunit ribosomal RNA
Source: RNAcentral